Molecule: ribosomal RNA, 254 nt
Filed under: uncultured bacterium
Lineage: Bacteria
Description: partial 16S ribosomal RNA
Rfam family: Bacterial small subunit ribosomal RNA
Source: RNAcentral
UACGUAGGGCGCAAGCGUUGUCCGGAAUUAUUGGGCGUAAAGAGCUCGUAGGUGGCGUGUCGCGUCUGCCGUGAAAGCCCAUGGCUUAACUGUGGGUCUGCGGUGGAUACGGGCAGGCUGGAGGCUGGUAGGGGCAAGCGGAAUUCCUGGUGUAGCGGUGAAAUGCGCAGAUAUCAAGAGGAACACCUGAGGUGAAGACGGGUUGCUGGGCUGACACUGACGCUGAGUGCGCGAAAGCCAGGGGAGCAAACGGG